RNAcentral lists this non-coding RNA (29 nucleotides) under Mus musculus (house mouse). Lineage: Eukaryota; Metazoa; Chordata; Mammalia; Rodentia; Muridae. The record is from RNAcentral.
UGGACUAAGAACUCUCGCCUGCGUGGCAA